Molecule: ribosomal RNA, 799 nt
Filed under: uncultured Glomus
Lineage: Eukaryota; Fungi; Glomeromycota; Glomeromycetes; Glomerales; Glomeraceae
Description: SSU rRNA
Rfam family: Eukaryotic small subunit ribosomal RNA
Source: RNAcentral
AUCAACUUUCGAUGGUAGGAUAGAGGCCUACCAUGGUGGUAACGGGUAACGGGGUGUUAGGGCACGACACCGGAGAGGGAGCCUGAGAAACGGCUACCACAUCCAAGGAUGGCAGCAGGCGCGCAAAUUACCCAAUCCCGACACGGGGAGGUAGUGACAAUAAAUAACAAUACGGGGUUCUUUAGGAUCUCGUAAUUGGAAUGAGUACAAUUUAAAUCUCUUAACGAGGAACAAUUGGAGGGCAAGUCUGGUGCCAGCAGCCGCGGUAAUUCCAGCUCCAAUAGCGUAUAUUAAAGUUGUUGCAGUUAAAAAGCUCGUAGUUGAAUUUCGGGGUUAGUAGGUUGGUCAUGCCUCUGGUAUGUACUGGUCUCACUGAUUCCUCCUUCCUGAUGAACCGUAAUGCCAUUAAUUUGGUGUUGCGGGGAAUUUGGACUGUUACUUUGAAAAAAUUAGAGUGUUUAAAGCAAGCUAACGCUUGAAUACAUUAGCAUGGAAUAAUGAAAUAGGACGUUCGAUCCUAUUUUGUUGGUUUCUAGGAUUGACGUAAUGAUUAAUAGGGAUAGUUGGGGGCAUUAGUAUUCAAUUGUCAGAGGUGAAAUUCUUGGAUUUAUUGAAGACUAACUACUGCGAAGGCAUUUGCCAAGGAUGUUUUCAUUAAUCAAGAACGAAAGUUAGGGGAUCGAAGGCGAUCAGAUACCGUCGUAGUCUUAACCAUAAACUAUGCCGACUAGGGAUCGGAUGAUGUUAAUUUUUUAAUGACUCAUUCGGCGCCUUACGGGAAACCAAAGUGUUUGGGUUC